GGACGCUUAGCUCAGUGGUAGAGCGCUUCGUUUACAUCGAAGAUGUCAGGGGUUCAAGUCCCUUAGCGUCCACCG
Molecule: transfer RNA, 75 nt
Filed under: Candidatus Levybacteria bacterium CG10_big_fil_rev_8_21_14_0_10_35_13
Lineage: Bacteria; Candidatus Levyibacteriota
Description: tRNA-Val
Rfam family: tRNA
About the family: Transfer RNA (tRNA) molecules are approximately 80 nucleotides in length. Their secondary structure includes four short double-helical elements and three loops (D, anti-codon, and T loops).
Source: RNAcentral